This 253-nucleotide ribosomal RNA is filed under the name uncultured bacterium. RNAcentral's name for it is "partial 16S ribosomal RNA". It matches the Rfam family "Bacterial small subunit ribosomal RNA", at positions 524 to 776 of the family's 1533-position model. The record is from RNAcentral.
UACGUAGGGGGCAAGCGUUGUCCGGAUUUAUUGGGCGUAAAGAGCGUGUAGGCGGCCAGACAAGUCUGCUGUGAAAACUCGAGGCUCAACCUCGAGCUGUCGGCGGAAACUGUCUGGCUAGAGUCCGGAAGAGGAGAGUGGAAUUCCUGGUGUAGCGGUGAAAUGCGCAGAUAUCAGGAAGAACACCUAUGGCGAAGGCAGGUCUCUGGGCCACUACUGACGCUGAGAAGCGAAAGCAUGGGGAGCGAACAGG